UUGAGAGUUUGAUCCUGGCUCAGAACGAACGCUGGCGGCAGGCCUAACACAUGCAAGUCGAGCGGAAACGAGUUAUCUGAACCUUCGGGGGACGAUAACGGCGUCGAGCGGCGGACGGGUGAGUAAUGCCUAGGAAAUUGCCCUGAUGUGGGGGAUAACCAUUGGAAACGAUGGCUAAUACCGCAUGAUGCCUACGGGCCAAAGAGGGGGACCUUCGGGCCUCUCGCGUCAGGAUAUGCCUAGGUGGGAUUAGCUAGUUGGUGAGGUAAGGGCUCACCAAGGCGACGAUCCCUAGCUGGUCUGAGAGGAUGAUCAGCCACACUGGAACUGAGACACGGUCCAGACUCCUACGGGAGGCAGCAGUGGGGAAUAUUGGACAAUGGGCGAAAGCCUGAUCCAGCAAUGCCGCGUGAGUGAUGAAGGCCUUAGGGUUGUAAAGCUCUUUUACCCGGGAUGAUAAUGACAGUACCGGGAGAAUAAGCCCCGGCUAACUCCGUGCCAGCAGCCGCGGUAAUACGGAGGGGGUUAGCGUUGUUCGGAAUUACUGGGCGUAAAGCGCGCGUAGGCGGACUGGAAAGUUGGGGGUGAAAUCCCGGGGCUCAACCCCGGAACUGCCUCCAAAACUAU
This 627-nucleotide ribosomal RNA is filed under the name Paramoeba aestuarina. RNAcentral describes it as "partial Bacterial small subunit ribosomal RNA". It matches the Rfam family "Bacterial small subunit ribosomal RNA", at positions 1 to 636 of the family's 1533-position model. The record is from RNAcentral. Lineage: Eukaryota; Discosea; Flabellinia; Dactylopodida; Paramoebidae.